UUCCUGUGGUAGUAUCUGAGAUUACCUUCAAACAGUUGAAACCUGACAAGGGUAAAAAGACUAUGCCCAUUACUCAUUGGAAGUAGGACUGAUCUUCCUUUAUUUCCUGAAUCUAUGUAAGGAACCAGUAAGGGAACAGUUUCUCACACUCCUUAAAAUGAUGAUGGUGAAGGUAUAGAACCACUACUUCAGGCCCGGUCG
This 201-nucleotide long non-coding RNA is filed under the name Mytilus galloprovincialis (Mediterranean mussel). The record is from RNAcentral. Lineage: Eukaryota; Metazoa; Mollusca; Bivalvia; Mytilida; Mytilidae.